GAAAUUUACACAUUCAGAAAUAAAUAACAGAUACUUUUUUUUCCCCUCCACAUAAAACUCCAAAACAGCUUUUGUCCCAGUUUGUUUCUCCAUUUACUGGAUGCAUUUAUGGAAGGCACAUUACAGGUCUUUGUGGGAAGAAACAGAAAGAAAUCACAAAAGCAAUUAAGAGAGCUCAAAUAAUGGGGUUUAUGCCAGUUACAUACAAGGAUCCUGCAUAUCUCAAGGACCCUAAAGUUUGUAACAUCAGAUAUCGGGAAUAAAUUCUAUCACGUUACCACUAAUAAACUUAUUUUACAGU
RNAcentral lists this small RNA (301 nucleotides) under Pan troglodytes (chimpanzee). RNAcentral describes it as "retained intron". Lineage: Eukaryota; Metazoa; Chordata; Mammalia; Primates; Hominidae. The record is from RNAcentral.